Molecule: RNA transcript, 688 nt
Organism: Fragaria vesca subsp. vesca
Lineage: Eukaryota; Viridiplantae; Streptophyta; Magnoliopsida; Rosales; Rosaceae
Exons: 4
Source: RefSeq, a predicted model, not a curated record
AACCCAAUAUGUUAUAUAAAUUCUUUCUCUUAAUUUUAAAUUUCUCACAAUUGUGUAGAUCCGUGAGUAACCCAGAAAAAUUUCUCACAAUUGUGUGGAUUCGUGAGUAACCCAACAAAAAAAACAGCACCACUUAUUCACUACCAAAUUUACAUGCACCCAGUAAACAUGUUUUUGGUCAAGUCUCUUCCUUUCUCAGUUUCUCAAGAUCCCCUUUCUACUCUUUACGAACCCUAAAAAUGGCCUCUCUAUCUAUUGAAAUUGGCGAGAAACAAUCCCGUAAUCGAUUUCCUCUCUCUCUGAAACUCUUCACCCUUGAAUUGGCACCAGCAAUGGAAAGAUUCGGCGGCAUCCACGGGGAGUUCUCAAUGUUGCUAGCCUUCAUCAUAUCAUCUUUUGCUCUGUAUACUUUGGUGGAGGAUAUCUAUGACGGAACCUUGGUAAAACUACAAACCCUCUUUUCCAAAUGAGCAAUGAAAGAUUUUUAGGUUAAGGUAUGGGUUCUAAUAUCUGUGCAUGUCAUUGUUUAUUUUCUUUUGCAACACAUGCACAAAAAUUUGAUGGAGUAUAUAUCUAAUGGUGUGUAUUUCAUUGUGAGCUUUUAGGUGACUUCAUAUUGGAUCAACUAUAGGAAAAGGGUAGGUUCAUUGGCACCAUUUGGUGACCUUUUUGUUAUUUCUGAUUUUUG